Molecule: long non-coding RNA, 646 nt
Organism: Salmo salar (Atlantic salmon)
Lineage: Eukaryota; Metazoa; Chordata; Actinopteri; Salmoniformes; Salmonidae
Source: RefSeq, a predicted model, not a curated record
GGCUGCCAGUACCUCUGGGUCGAUAGUCCAUGUGUUGGAUGAUGCACUGCCGUUGAUCAGAACAAGUUAGUAACUUGACCAAAGCUAUGCUUGGAUACAAGACUGAUGACUCAAUAACCAAUAUUGACAACAGUGAAGAUGGUUGUGUCCCAGGGCCAUCAGAGGAAGGCAAUUUCUAUGAAGAAAAUCUGACCGGAGAGAUGUCAGCGAUUCGGGCCAAUGACCAAGGGAAAGCUGGGACAAAAGAGAGGCUCACACAGUGCCAAAGGAACAAAAAGGUAUUGGUCGACAAUAGAGGUGGAUGCAGUUGAUUCCUUGAUGAAUUUUAUCCGAAUGGGAAAAACACCUGGAAAACAAGACUGUGAGAAUUGCAUUGCUGCUUCUCCCAAGCGCUAGUAAACAGGGACUGGAGAGCAGUUAAGUUCUAUGUACACAACAGAAUAGUUGCAGAUCAGAGAAAAUAAGUGUAUGAGAUGCUUCUGGCUAUCUUGGUGUACUUCUGAGGAUUUAAUGGGACUUACUUGACUUAAACUCAUCAACAGAUGACGAAUGUCCUCUAUCUCACUGUUUCGAUCGUCAAAAGGAGUGGAUCAAAACGCAGCGUGUUGAGUGCUCAUAUUUAUUACACUUAAAAAAAGAAUCAAAA